Molecule: long non-coding RNA, 265 nt
Filed under: Numida meleagris (helmeted guineafowl)
Lineage: Eukaryota; Metazoa; Chordata; Aves; Galliformes; Numididae
Description: lncRNA (ENSNMEG00000013637.1)
Source: RNAcentral
GCCUAUUUCUAGACACCCAGCAUUAUUAUACUCAGUAAAAGACACAUCUAAGAAGUCCUUUUCCUUCUUCGCUCACAGGCUGUUGUGUCGGAUGACCACUACUGAAUUAUAGCUUCUAAUUUUUUAAGAAGGGAAAAGGAAUUAAACCCCUGAGCCCUCCCAGCUGCAUAUUCAACACUUUUUCUUCUAAAGUACCAAAAUACGCAAGUUGUAUUUUCUUCCUCAGCCUGCAAAGAAAAUAAGGUAAUGGAAAAUUAACUCUAUU